This 492-nucleotide ribosomal RNA is filed under the name uncultured bacterium. RNAcentral's name for it is "partial 16S ribosomal RNA". It matches the Rfam family "Bacterial small subunit ribosomal RNA", at positions 29 to 507 of the family's 1533-position model. The record is from RNAcentral.
AGUGAACGCUGGCGGUAGGCCUAACACAUGCAAGUCGAACGGAAGGACAGUAAGAGCGUGCCCUUACGGGUGGCGAGUGGCGGACGGGUGAGGAAUACAUCGGAAUCUAAUUUUUCGUGGGGGAUAACGUAGGGAAACUUAUGCUAAUACCGCAUAUGACCUACGGGUGAAAGCAGGGGAUAUUCGGAGCUUUCGUGUCUGAAUGAGCCGAUGCCGGAUUAGCUAGUUGGCGGGGUAAAGGCACACCAAGGCGACGAUCCGUAGCUGGUCUGAGAGGAUGAUCAGCCACACUGGAACUGAGACACGGUCCAGACUCCUACGGGAGGCAGCAGUGGGGAAUAUUGGACAAUGGGCGCAAGCCUGAUCCAGCCAUGCCGCGUGAGUGAUGAAGGCCUUCGGAUUGUAAAGCCCUUUUGUUGGGAAAGAACAGCAGCAUAUUAAUCCCCCGCUGUUCUGACGGUACCCAAAGAAUAAGCCCCGGCUAACUUCGUG